GCAGCGAUACCCGGGCUCCGGGGGAAUGCGCGAUAUGCUACAAUGGGACCGUGUGCCCCGGAAGAAAGGCAACCUUCAUCCCCCCGGUGGGGAGAGACGGAGCGCGCGGUGCUGCCUGUCGCUGGAAUCCGCGUUAAACUUCCGCCCAUCUGCGGCCAUAAACAGCCCCAGAUGACAGCUGCGCCCCAGCGCUCGGGAAGCCGUCUCCAGCCCUCGCGCUGAACCGGUGCCGGCUGACGCGCGGAUAUCUGCUGCUAAACAGCCAGAUGCGGCCUUUUUUUUUCUCCCCCUUUGUCACCUCUCAGAAGACUCGCGCCGUCUUCUUCCAGGAAUCACGCCGGAGGGGUUUUAAUGUGGAGCGUGUUUGACGAGCCCAUUGUUCAGGGGUCGCCCCCGGGGAAAUGGCAGCCGACCUCUAUUCCACAUUCCUGGAAGGACCCGGGGCCCUCUGAGGGUAAUUGUUGGUUGUGGGUCAUGUGACAAGCCACUCCCUCUGGAAGACUGCGGCAAAACUCCAAAUGCUAAAGACACCUGGUUAGUUUGUCCUUGCCUUGUAAGAAGCUUUGAAGCAUACUGUACCAAGAUGAAGUCUGGGCUUGCUGAACCGCUCGACCGAACUCUGCUGAUCUUGAAAGAUUCACAGUGUUAAGAUAAAGAACCCCACAUCCUCUUCCCCAAGCCAACACAUCUCAUAAGUAAGUUUUGAAAACAGGUUCAUAUACAAAUCCCUGGUGACUCUGUGCAAAUUACUGAACUGAAGCACACGGUCUGCUGGGACCGAGCAGAAAGAAAAGUAUUAUUCAAGUAUUAUUAACAUAAUAAAAGUGCCUAGGCUGACAAGACAUGUUGCAUUGAAAAUUUAUUCAAAGAUAUGCAUUUUAUUUUUUAUUGAACGCGCCUUGUGGUCUGCGUUUCAGCAUAAUGGAAUACGGCUCUUCAGAUUAUGACCAGAGACUAAGGUUCCCUGCAGUGGACAAAAAUGAAUUGCCAGGUCUUAGAUGGAUACACACACACACACCUACACACACACAGACACAUACA
This is a long non-coding RNA of Anguilla anguilla (European eel), 1041 nucleotides long. RefSeq lists it as uncharacterized. The transcript has 4 exons. NCBI's taxonomy places the organism in Eukaryota, Metazoa, Chordata, Actinopteri, Anguilliformes, Anguillidae. The record is from RefSeq and is a predicted model, not a curated record.